UUAUAAUAAAUCUAGGACAUAAUUUUAUACUUAAUACAUUAAUUUGAUCAAUAAAAAGAUAAAUUUAUUUUUUAUUUAAGUGUGAUGUAUCCUUGAAUCAUCUAUGAAAUAAGUUUUCGAUAUAUAUUAUCAAAAUAUUGAGAAUUAGAGACAUAUAUUUAAUUCUUAAAUACUCUCAAUCAUAGGAUCAUCAUGAGGAUGGUGAUCGAUCUGGAUAGACUGGCACAC
RNAcentral lists this long non-coding RNA (228 nucleotides) under Elaeis guineensis (African oil palm). RNAcentral describes it as "long non-coding RNA (EGUI_LNC014284)". Lineage: Eukaryota; Viridiplantae; Streptophyta; Magnoliopsida; Arecales; Arecaceae. The record is from RNAcentral.